UAAUACGGAGGGUGCGAGCGUUGUCCGGAAUCACUGGGCGUAAAGGGCGCGUAGGCGGCCUGAUAAGUAGGGGGUGAAAUCUUGCGGCUUAACCGCAAGGCUGCCUUCUAAACUGUCAGGCUAGAGCACAGUAGAGGCAGGUGGAAUUCCCGGUGUAGCGGUGGAAUGCGUAGAGAUCGGGAAGAACAUCAGUGGCGAAGGCGGCCUGCUGGGCUGUUGCUGACGCUGAGGCGCGACAGCGUGGGGAGCAAACAGGAUUAGAUACCCU
RNAcentral lists this ribosomal RNA (268 nucleotides) under uncultured bacterium. RNAcentral's name for it is "partial 16S ribosomal RNA". It matches the Rfam family "Bacterial small subunit ribosomal RNA", at positions 521 to 788 of the family's 1533-position model. The record is from RNAcentral.